AUACGUAGGGGGCAAGCGUUAUCCGGAUUUACUGGGUGUAAAGGGAGCGUAGGCGGGAGCUUAAGUCAGCGGUUAAAUGGUGCGGCUCAACCGUGCCCUGCCGUUGAAACUGGGUUUCUUGAGAGUGCAAGAGGCGGAUGGAAUUCAUGGUGUAGCGGUGAAGUGCUUAGAUAUCAUGAAGAACUCCGAUUGCGAAGGCAGUCCGCUGGGGCACGUCUGACGCUGAUGCUCGAAGGUGCGGGAAUCAAACAGGAUUAGAUACCCUGGUAGUCCGCACGGUAAACGAUGAUUACCCGCUGUCGGCGGCAGACAGUCGGCGGCCAAGCGAAAGCGAUAAGUAAUCCACCUGGGGAGUACGCCGGCAACGGUGAAACUCAAAUGAAUUGGCGGGG
Molecule: ribosomal RNA, 392 nt
Filed under: uncultured bacterium
Lineage: Bacteria
Description: partial 16S ribosomal RNA
Rfam family: Bacterial small subunit ribosomal RNA
Source: RNAcentral